Molecule: long non-coding RNA, 231 nt
Organism: Salvelinus namaycush (lake trout)
Lineage: Eukaryota; Metazoa; Chordata; Actinopteri; Salmoniformes; Salmonidae
Exons: 3
Source: RefSeq, a predicted model, not a curated record
AGCUUAUCAGCUAUCUCAGUCAUUUUUAGGCUUCUCUGAUCUGGCCCAGUUAGUGGUCUUCUACUCUAUGAGCAGGGACGUGUUGCCAGUGUGUCUGUUCAUCCCUCCGUGGCUCUACAGUCUAACAGAUCAGCCACAGUCCAACAGUCUGUCCCAGCUGGGUCCCAAAUCCUGGCUGUGUCCCACCUCUGACCUCCAGCCUGAUCACAUGACUCAGAGGGCUACUGGUAC